This 115-nucleotide ribosomal RNA is filed under the name Jaculus jaculus (lesser Egyptian jerboa). The record is from RNAcentral. Lineage: Eukaryota; Metazoa; Chordata; Mammalia; Rodentia; Dipodidae.
GUCUACGGCCGUAGCACUCUGAGCGCAGAUGAUCUCAUCUGAUCUCGGAAGCCAAGCAGGGUUGGGCCUGGUUAGUUCCUGGAUGAGAGACAGAAGUGCUGGAAGGCCCUGGGCU